Molecule: ribosomal RNA, 318 nt
Filed under: Klebsiella pneumoniae
Lineage: Bacteria; Pseudomonadati; Pseudomonadota; Gammaproteobacteria; Enterobacterales; Enterobacteriaceae
Description: bacterial SSU rRNA
Rfam family: Bacterial small subunit ribosomal RNA
Source: RNAcentral
CCAGCCACACUGGAACUGAGACACGGUCCAGACUCCUACGGGAGGCAGCAGUGGGGAAUAUUGCACAAUGGGCGCAAGCCUGAUGCAGCCAUGCCGCGUGUGUGAAGAAGGCCUUCGGGUUGUAAAGCACUUUCAGCGGGGAGGAAGGCGAUAAGGUUAAUAACCUUGUCGAUUGACGUUACCCGCAGAAGAAGCACCGGCUAACUCCGUGCCAGCAGCCGCGGUAAUACGGAGGGUGCAAGCGUUAAUCGGAAUUACUGGGCGUAAAGCGCACGCAGGCGGUCUGUCAAGUCGGAUGUGAAAUCCCCGGGCUCAACC